AGGAAAUAACCCAAUGAACAUUCCAGCAGGAGGAAUAACAGCAGAUCAGCAGCCACCAAACUUGAUUUCAGAAUCAGCUCUUCCAACUUCUGUUGGGGUCACAAACACUAUACCGACAGCAGCACCUCCUUCCAGCACUGGUGUUCGGAAAGGCUGGCAUGAACAUGUCACUGAGGACCUGCGGAGCCAUCUAGUGCAUAAACUCGUCCAAGCCAUCUUCCCAACACCUGACCCUGCAGCCCUGAAGGAUCCCCGCAUGGAGAACCUAGUGGCGUAUGCUAAGAAAGUAGAAGGGGACAUGUACGAGUCUGCCAAUUGCCUGGAUGAAUACUAUCACUUAUUAACAGAGAAAAUCGACAAGAUACAGAAAGAACGAGAAGAAAAACGGAGGUCACGUUUACAGGAACAAUCUUAGUCUACCUGACUAUGGAGCAUCGUCUGGCAGGAAAUCUCCAGCACAAAACUUCGCAAACAACUGUGACACGUUUGAGCAAUUGCAGCACCCUCUCCAGACACUAUACAAUUUUGUGUGUGUUUCAGUUGUGUUUUUACCUUUCUUGAAAUAAUAAAGAAUAAUAUGCCAAAAA
Molecule: long non-coding RNA, 587 nt
Organism: Phyllostomus hastatus (greater spear-nosed bat)
Lineage: Eukaryota; Metazoa; Chordata; Mammalia; Chiroptera; Phyllostomidae
Exons: 5
Source: RefSeq, a predicted model, not a curated record